This is a long non-coding RNA of Neofelis nebulosa (Clouded leopard), 2797 nucleotides long. RefSeq lists it as uncharacterized. The record is from RefSeq and is a predicted model, not a curated record. The transcript has 2 exons. Lineage: Eukaryota; Metazoa; Chordata; Mammalia; Carnivora; Felidae.
CUGUAUAUUCUGCCUCCUCUGGGGCCUAAUUUACACAUGUCUAUUUGUCUUUCUCUAAGUAACUGAGGAGAUCAGGGCUCAGCCCAGACUGAGUUUCCAGCCUCGGUGUGGGAAUGAACGGGGCUCACUCAUAGCUAAGGGAGUUCCAUAGCACACGGAACAAAGUGUUUCCUUCCUGAAUCAUUGACUCGUGGUGUCUUCGGGCUCUAACCAGAUGCAGAAGCCUGCACAGCUGCCCCACCUGCUCCCACAACUGCCUACCAGCUAAUCCCGACAAUAAUUCCCAUACUCUGUUUCUCACAGUGGUUCUGUUGCUCUGACUGAACCCUGACAGAUACUCUGUGCUUGUGCGGUUUACAUUCUGGAUAGACAGUAAACGGCUUAAUAAGUAAAUUCUAAAGUACGCUUAAUAGUGAAAGGUGCUAUGGAAAGAAAGAAAAUGAGAGAAGGGAAAGAGAGAGGGAAAGAGUAAGGGUAAUCUAGGGUGCCAUGGGGCUGGAGAUGGGGAGGCAGGUGCCCUAUUGAAUAAGAUGUCCCAAUGGGCCUAAUUGAGAAGGUAAGAUCUGAACAAAGCCUUGAACGAGGUGAGGGGUAGCCAAAGGAAAAUCUUUGAGAGCAGAAGAACAUAGAAUCCUCUCCCUAAGACAGGGGAGUGCCUAAAACAUUCCAGUGGCUUCAAGGAGCCAAUGUGACUGGAAAGGAGAGAGCCAAGAGGUGGACAGGAAGAUAUCAGGCUGAAACUGAAUCAAGGGGUGUGAUUUAUACAGCAGGGGUUGGCAAAUACCGGCCUAUGGACAAACCUAGCCCCUCUGCUUGUUUUUGUACAAGUCUUAUUGGCACACAGCCACGCUUGUUCAUUUACACAUCGUCUAUGGAUGCUUUCUGGCUAACAUGGCCAAGGUUGAGUAGUUGUGACAGAGACCAUAUGGCCUACACAGUCUGAAGUAUUUACUAAAAAAAUUUGUUGACCCCUGGUGUAGAGGCUCGGAGUGUUUUGCCUUUACUAUGAACAAAAUGCAAGCCAUCUCAUGUUUUGGGCAGAGGAGGGCCACACUCUAGUUUAUCUUAUACAUGAAUCACCCAUACUGCUGUGUUGAGAGCAGACUCUGGGGGGCAAGGGUGCCAGGUUAGAAGCAGGGAGACCCAUUAGGAAGCUAUCAUGGCAUCCAAGCCAGAGAGGAUGCUGGCUCGGGCCAGAGUGGCAGCGGGGGAUGUGGUCGGAUUCUGAUUAUCUUUUGAAGCUUGAGCCAAACUGACAGAGUGGAUCUGGGUGUGGGAAAAUAAGGGAGUCAACAGUGUACAAUUACAACCCAUCUUAAGUGCUAGUAUAAAAGGUUUCCUCAGAGGUGCCUCAGGGACCAGCAGGAGGGGAGCAUUGCCAAUCUCCCCGCCCAACUGGAGCAGGGCUGCUUUGUCUGUUUUGUGUAUUGGGCUUUCUAGUAACACCACUGUUCUCAACCUUGGCUGCAUGUGAACUCUGGGGAGCUUUACAAGGUACUGAUGCCUGGGUCCCACCCCUAAAAUUCUUGUUUAAUUGGUUUGGGUUUCGACCCGAGCAUUAGGAUUCAUAAAAGCUCCCCAGACGAUUCUUCCAUAAGCCAAAGUUGAGAACCACUGCUCUAAUAUUUUCUUUGAAUAAACUUCCCAUCCCGUCAGAUGAUGGAAAAGGACUGGUUUGGGAUCUAGAUGUGUGUGGUGGAACUUUGUUUUUUUAAUUUUCAUCUUCCCAGCAGUUAGUACCUUCAUGAUCCCAUCUUAAUUUGCUGGGAAGGAAUUUCUUCUCCCUUUGUUCAUAGCCCUGGUAGAAACGGUGACUGUCCCCCAUCAACCCCCUACCCUCCACCAUCAAAGUGAAUUUUCUGGGUCUCUUCUCUCCUUUUCCCUGGUACAGCCACAUGGCAGCUGUCUGACUUGAGCUCAAGCAGUGGGACACAACCCAGAGAUGGUUGCAGGUGACUCGUUGCAGCAAUGGCCGAAAUGCUCUCCGGGAUUUUCUACCAUGAAACGAUUGCUGAGUAUUGUUCCCAGCAUCUUGGCCCUCAGAGCUCCCUUGGUUCUUUCAAUCCAUUCCCAAACCUGGUGCCUUGGCCUCUGGUACCCUGUCAGUCUCCUUUCCACUACCCUAUAUCAUGUUGGUAAAUUGCCUAUUGCUUAAGUUAGUUUUUGCUUGCAUCCAAGAACCCUAUGGUCACAGAAGGCCUGCGUGGUAUUCUUUGCUCUAUUUGUAUCAUGACAUUAUUCCAGUCUAUUCAUUUGGCAACUGUACACUGUGAUUUCUUUGUUGGAAAAGAGCAAACAAGAAUAACAAUCUAUUGAACUAUGCUUACUCAAUGGGGAACAGACAAAUAUGAGUUGGUGCCAGAUCCUUUGGAGGUUGUAAUAAUCAUUUAUAAAACUAAUAUAGCUAUCAAUAAUAACAACAAUUUAUUAAUCAUCCAUGUCUUGAUAGUACAAAAAUUCGACUUAAUAUUUCUACAGAUGCCAAGUCUUGGGUUGAAGUGUAUAUAUGUAAAAUCAUCAAAAUGGUGAGCUAACACAAUCCUAAUCUUUAAAAAAAAUUUUUUUUUUGAAUAGGGGAACCUGGGUGGCUCACUUGGUUGAGCGUCUGACUAUGACUCAGGUCAUGCAUGAUCACAGUUCGUGGGUUCGAGCCCUGCAUCCGGCUCUGUGCUGACCACUCAAAGCCUGGAGCCUGCUUUGGAUUCUGUGUCUCCCUCUCUUUCUGCCCCUCCCUUGCUUGUACUCUGCCCCUCUCUGUCUCUCAAAAAUGAAUAAAACACUAAAAAAAUUAAAAAAA